RNAcentral lists this ribosomal RNA (376 nucleotides) under uncultured organism. RNAcentral describes it as "partial 16S ribosomal RNA". It matches the Rfam family "Bacterial small subunit ribosomal RNA", at positions 527 to 897 of the family's 1533-position model. The record is from RNAcentral.
GUAGGAGGCAAGCGUUGUCCGGAUUUACUGGGCGUAAAGGGCUCGCAGGCGGGUUCGCCAAGUCUGGGUGUGAAAUCUCCCGGGCUUAACCGGGAGGGUGCAUUGGAAACUGGCGGACUUGAGGGCAUCAGGGGAGAGUGGAAUUCCAGGUGUAGUGGUGAAAUGCGUAGAUAUCUGGAAGAACACCAGUGGCGAAGGCGGCUCUCUGGGGAGCAUCUGACGCUGAGGAGCGAAAGCGUGGGGAGCGAACCGGAUUAGAUACCCGGGUAGUCCACGCCCUAAACGAUGAUAACUAGGUGUUGGGGGUAUCGACCCCCUCAGUGCCGAAGCUAACGCGAUAAGUUAUCCGCCUGGGGACUACGGCCGCAAAGGCUAA